AGGAAAUAGAUACCCCCGGUAGUCCCAGCCGUAAACGAUGCUCGCUAGGUGUCAGGCAUGGCGCGACCGUGUCUGGUGCCGCAGGGAAGCCGUGAAGCGAGCCACCUGGGAAGUACGGCCGCAAGGCUGAAACUUAAAGGAAUUGGCGGGGGAGCACAACAACGGGUGGAGCCUGCGGUUUAAUUGGACUCAACGCCGGACAACUCACCGGGGGCGACAGCAAUAUGUAGGCCAAGCUGAAGACUUUGCCUGAAUCGCUGAGAGGAGGUGCAUGGCCGUCGCCAGUUCGUACUGUGAAGCAUCCUGUUAAGUCAGGCAACGAGCGAGACCCGUGCCCACUGUUACCAGCAUGUCCUCCGGGACGAUGGGUACUCUGUGGGGACCGCCUAUGUUAAAUAGGAGGAAGGUGCGGGCCACGGUAGGUCAGUAUGCCCCGAAUCUCCGGGCUACACGCGGGCUACAAUGGAUGGGACAAUGGGUCCCUACUCCGAAAGGAGCUGGUAAUCUCACAAACCCAUUCGUAGUUCGGAUCGAGGGCUGUAAC
This 544-nucleotide ribosomal RNA is filed under the name uncultured bacterium. RNAcentral describes it as "bacterial SSU rRNA". It matches the Rfam family "Archaeal small subunit ribosomal RNA", at positions 725 to 1267 of the family's 1478-position model. The record is from RNAcentral.